UCCUCCGUGGCGCAAUUGGCUAGCGCGUCUGACUGUUACCCGCGGUAGCCCAUCAGGAGGUUGAAAGUUCGAGCCUUUCCGGGGGAG
RNAcentral lists this transfer RNA (87 nucleotides) under Ampelomyces quisqualis. It matches the Rfam family "tRNA". Rfam says of the family: Transfer RNA (tRNA) molecules are approximately 80 nucleotides in length. Lineage: Eukaryota; Fungi; Ascomycota; Dothideomycetes; Pleosporales; Phaeosphaeriaceae. The record is from Rfam by way of RNAcentral.